UACGUAGGUGGCAAGCGUUAUCCGGAUUUACUGGGUGUAAAGGGUGCGUAGGCUGUAAGGUAAGUCAGCGGUGAAAUGCCCCCGCUCAACGGGGUGAAGUGCCAUUGAUACUGCCUUGCUGGAAUGCGGAUGCCGUGGGAGGAAUGUGUGGUGUAGCGGUGAAAUGCAUAGAUAUCACACAGAACACCGAUUGCGAAGGCAGCAUGCCGGCUCCACACUGACGCUGAGGCACGAAAGCGUGGGUAUCGAACAGG
RNAcentral lists this ribosomal RNA (254 nucleotides) under uncultured Bacteroidales bacterium. RNAcentral describes it as "partial 16S ribosomal RNA". It matches the Rfam family "Bacterial small subunit ribosomal RNA", at positions 524 to 776 of the family's 1533-position model. The record is from RNAcentral. Lineage: Bacteria; Pseudomonadati; Bacteroidota; Bacteroidia; Bacteroidales.